UACGUAGGGUCCGAGCGUUGUCCGGAAUUAUUGGGCGUAAAGAGCUCGUAGGCGGUUUGUCGCGUCUGCUGUGAAAUCCCGAGGCUCGACCUCGGGCCUGCAGUGGGUACGGGCAGACUUGAGUCUGGUAGGGGAACACGGAAUACCUGGUGUAGCGGUGAAAUGCGCAGAUAUCAGGUGGAACACCAAUGGCGAAGGCAGCUCGCUGGGACGGUACUGACGCUGAGGCGCGAAAGCGUGGGGAGCAAACAGG
This 253-nucleotide ribosomal RNA is filed under the name uncultured bacterium. RNAcentral describes it as "partial 16S ribosomal RNA". It matches the Rfam family "Bacterial small subunit ribosomal RNA", at positions 524 to 776 of the family's 1533-position model. The record is from RNAcentral.